This 164-nucleotide ribosomal RNA is filed under the name uncultured bacterium. Its description in RNAcentral is "partial 16S rRNA". It matches the Rfam family "Bacterial small subunit ribosomal RNA", at positions 355 to 511 of the family's 1533-position model. The record is from RNAcentral.
UAGGGAAUCUUCCACAAUGGACGAAAGUCUGAUGGAGCAACGCCGCGUGAGUGAAGAAGGGUUUCGGCUCGUAAAACUCUGUUGUUAAAGAAGAACAUAUCUGAGAGUAACUGUUCAGGUAUUGACGGUAUUUAACCAGAAAGCCGCGGCUAACUACGNGCCAG